GAUGAAGAACCAGCGAAAUGCGAUACUUGGUGUGAAUUGCAGAAUCCCGUGAACCAUCGAGUCUUUGAACGCAAGUUGCGCCCGAAGCCAUUAGGCCGAGGGCACGCCUGCCUGGGCGUCACACGUCGUUGCCCCCCCAUCUACUCCUUCGGGAUUGCGGGGGGCGGAUGAUGGCCUCCCGUGCGCCUCGUCGCGCGGUUGGCCUAAAUGCCAAGUCCUCGGCGACGCACGCCACGACAAUCGGUGGUUGCGAAACCUCGGUUGCCUGUCGUGUGCGGUCGUCGCGCAUCGAGGGCUCGAAAAAAUUGCCGGGCUUCGGCUCGACUUUCAACGCGACCCCAGGUCAGGCGGGGUUACCCGCUGAAUUUAAGCAUAUCAAUAAGCGGAGGA
This 390-nucleotide unclassified non-coding RNA is filed under the name soil metagenome. Its description in RNAcentral is "partial contains 5.8S ribosomal RNA, internal transcribed spacer 2, and large subunit ribosomal RNA". The stretch from base 1 to 121 matches the Rfam family "5.8S ribosomal RNA", at positions 35 to 154 of the family's 154-position model. The record is from RNAcentral.